This 154-nucleotide ribosomal RNA is filed under the name uncultured bacterium. RNAcentral's name for it is "partial 16S ribosomal RNA". It matches the Rfam family "Bacterial small subunit ribosomal RNA", at positions 338 to 509 of the family's 1533-position model. The record is from RNAcentral.
CCUACGGGAGGCAGCAGUGAGGGAUCUUGCGCAAUGGGGGAACCCUGACGCAGCGACGCCGCGUGGGUGAUGAAGGCCUUCGGGUCGUAAAACCCUUUUGCCACUGACGAGGAAGGACGGUAGGUGGCGAAUAAGCCUCGGCUAACUACGUGCC